RNAcentral lists this ribosomal RNA (441 nucleotides) under uncultured bacterium. RNAcentral's name for it is "partial 16S ribosomal RNA". It matches the Rfam family "Bacterial small subunit ribosomal RNA", at positions 338 to 795 of the family's 1533-position model. The record is from RNAcentral.
CCUACGGGAGGCAGCAGUCGGGAAUAUUGCGCAAUGGAGGAAACUCUGACGCAGUGACGCCGCGUAUAGGAAGAAGGUUUUCGGAUUGUAAACUCUUGUCGUUAGGGAAGAUAAAAGACUGAUCUUAAGGAGGAAGCCCCGGCUACAUAUGUGCAAGCAGCCGCGGUAAGACAGAGGGGGCAAGCGUUAUCCGGAAUUACUGGGGGUAAAGGGUGCGUAGACGGAAGAGCAAGUCGGUUGUGAAAUCCCUCGGCUCAACUGAGGAACUGCAACCAAAACUAUUCUCCUUGAGUGUCGGAGAGGAAAGUGGAAUUCCUGGUGUAGCGGUGAAAUGCGUAGAGAUUAAGAGGAACACCAGUGGCGAAGGCGACUUGCUGGACGAUAACUGACGUUGAGGCACGAAAGUGUGGGGAGCAAACAGGAUUAGAUACCCGUGUAGUC